UUGAUCCUGGCUCAGGAUGAACGCCGGCGGUGUGCCUAAUACAUGCAAGUCGUACGCACUGGCCCAACUGAUUGAUGGUGCUUGCACCUGAUUGACGUUGGAUCACCAGUGAGUGGCGGACGGGUGAGUAACACGUAGGUAACCUGCCCCGGAGCGGGGGAUAACAUUUGGAAACAGAUGCUAAUACCGCAUAACAACAAAAGCCACAUGGCUUUUGUUUGAAAGAUGGCUUUGGCUAUCACUCUGGGAUGGACCUGCGGUGCAUUAGCUAGUUGGUAAGGUAACGGCUUACCAAGGCGAUGAUGCAUAGCCGAGUUGAGAGACUGAUCGGCCACAAUGGAACUGAGACACGGUCCAUACUCCUACGGGAGGCAGCAGUAGGGAAUCUUCCACAAUGGGCGCAAGCCUGAUGGAGCAACACCGCGUGAGUGAAGAAGGGUUUCGGCUCGUAAAGCUCUGUUGUUGGAGAAGAACGUGCGUGAGAGUAACUGUUCACGCAGUGACGGUAUCCAACCAGAAAGUCACGGCUAACUACGUGCCAGCAGCCGCGGUAAUACGUAGGUGGCAAGCGUUAUCCGGAUUUAUUGGGCGUAAAGCGAGCGCAGGCGGUUGCUUAGGUCUGAUGUGAAAGCCUUCGGCUUAACCGAAGAAGUGCAUCGGAAACCGGGCGACUUGAGUGCAGAAGAGGACAGUGGAACUCCAUGUGUAGCGGUGGAAUGCGUAGAUAUAUGGAAGAACACCAGUGGCGAAGGCGGCUGUCUGGUCUGCAACUGACGCUGAGGCUCGAAAGCAUGGGUAGCGAACAGGAUUAGAUACCCUGGUAGUCCAUGCCGUAAACGAUGAGUGCUAGGUGUUGGAGGGUUUCCGCCCUUCAGUGCCGGAGCUAACGCAUUAAGCACUCCGCCUGGGGAGUACGACCGCAAGGUUGAAACUCAAAGGAAUUGACGGGGGCCCGCACAAGCGGUGGAGCAUGUGGUUUAAUUCGAAGCUACGCGAAGAACCUUACCAGGUCUUGACAUCUUGCGCUAACCUUAGAGAUAAGGCGUUCCCUUCGGGGACGCAAUGACAGGUGGUGCAUGGUCGUCGUCAGCUCGUGUCGUGAGAUGUUGGGUUAAGUCCCGCAACGAGCGCAACCCUUGUUACUAGUUGCCAGCAUUAAGUUGGGCACUCUAGUGAGACUGCAGGUGACAAACCGGAGGAAGGUGGGGACGACGUCAGAUCAUCAUGCCCCUUAUGACCUGGGCUACACACGUGCUACAAUGGACGGUACAACGAGUCGCAAGCUCGCGAGAGUAAGCUAAUCUCUUAAAGCCGUUCUCAGUUCGGACUGUAGGCUGCAACUCGCCUACACGAAGUCGGAAUCGCUAGUAAUCGCGGAUCAGCAUGCCGCGGUGAAUACGUUCCCGGGCCUUGCACACACCGCCCGUCA
This 1429-nucleotide ribosomal RNA is filed under the name uncultured bacterium. Its description in RNAcentral is "bacterial SSU rRNA". It matches the Rfam family "Bacterial small subunit ribosomal RNA". The record is from RNAcentral.